CCAGAUGCAGUGAACCGUGGUAUAGAGAAUGUGGACAAGGGGCUGGGGCCGGCAAUGUGGUCUACAAUUCCAAGAAGAUGAAAAUAUUGUGUCAGUGAUAUCAACGCCUUUAAUCAAACUUGCCCACCACCAAGACUCAGGUUUUCUGGAUUUUCUUCCUUGAUCAGACAAAGAAAAUAUUCUGAAUUCCAAAGAAAGAGGGGAAAUA
RNAcentral lists this long non-coding RNA (208 nucleotides) under Selaginella moellendorffii. RNAcentral's name for it is "long non-coding RNA (SMOE_LNC000646)". Lineage: Eukaryota; Viridiplantae; Streptophyta; Lycopodiopsida; Selaginellales; Selaginellaceae. The record is from RNAcentral.